GCCAGGCAUGGUGGUGCAUGCCUGUAAUCCCAGCUACUUGGGAGGCUGAGGCAAGAGAAUUGCUUGAACCCAGGAGGCAGAGGUUGCAGUGAGCCAAGAUUGUGCCACUGCACUCCAGCCUGGGUGACAGAGCGAGACUUUGUCUCAA
Unclassified non-coding RNA from Callithrix jacchus (white-tufted-ear marmoset), 148 nucleotides. It matches the Rfam family "Metazoan signal recognition particle RNA". From Rfam's summary of the family: The signal recognition particle (SRP) is a universally conserved ribonucleoprotein. The record is from Ensembl. Lineage: Eukaryota; Metazoa; Chordata; Mammalia; Primates; Cebidae.